This 500-nucleotide ribosomal RNA is filed under the name uncultured bacterium. RNAcentral's name for it is "partial 16S ribosomal RNA". It matches the Rfam family "Bacterial small subunit ribosomal RNA", at positions 29 to 523 of the family's 1533-position model. The record is from RNAcentral.
AUUGAACGCUGGCGGCAUGCCUUACACAUGCAAGUCGAACGGCAUCACGGGAGCAAUCCUGGUGGCGAGUGGCGAACGGGUGAGUAAAGUAUCGGAACGUGCCCAGUCGUGGGGGAUAACGUAGCGAAAGUUACGCUAAUACCGCAUACGAUCUAUGGAUGAAAGCGGGGGAUCGCAAGACCUCGCGCGAUUGGAGCGGCCGAUAUCAGAUUAGGUAGUUGGUGGGGUAAAGGCUCACCAAGCCGACGAUCAGUAGCUGGUCUGAGAGGACGACCGACCACGAUGGGACCGAAACAUGGCCCAGACUCCGACGGGAGGCAGCAAUGGGGAAUUGUGGAGAAUGGGCGAAAGCCUGAUCCAGCCAUGCCGCGUGCAGGAGGAAGACCUUAGGGUUGUAAACUGCUUUUGUACGGAACUAAAAGGUUUGGCCUAAUAAGCUGAGCUCAUGACGGUACCGUAAGAGCAAGCACCGGCUAACUACGUGCCAGCCGCCGCCGUAA